RNAcentral lists this ribosomal RNA (495 nucleotides) under uncultured bacterium. Its description in RNAcentral is "partial 16S ribosomal RNA". It matches the Rfam family "Bacterial small subunit ribosomal RNA", at positions 28 to 507 of the family's 1533-position model. The record is from RNAcentral.
GACGAACGCUGGCGGCGUGCCUAAUACAUGCAAGUAGAACGCUGAAGGAGGAGCUUGCUCUUCUGGAUGAGUUGCGAACGGGUGAGUAACGCGUAGGUAACCUGCCUGGUAGCGGGGGACAACUAUUGGAAACGAUAGCUAAUACCGCAUAACAGUAGAUGUUGCAUGACAUUUGCUUAAAAGGUGCAAUUGCAUCACUACCAGAUGGACCUGCGUUGUAUUAGCUAGUUGGUGGGGUAACGGCUCACCAAGGCGACGAUACAUAGCCGACCUGAGAGGGGGAUCGGCCACACUGGGACUGAGACACGGCCCAGACUCCUACGGGAGGCAGCAGUAGGGAAUCUUCGGCAAUGGACGGAAGUCUGACCGAGCAACGCCGCGUGAGUGAAGAAGGUUUUUGGAUCGUAAAGCUCUGUUGUAAGAGAAGAACGAGUGUGAGAGUGGAAAGUUCACACUGUGACGGUAUCUUACCAGAAAGGGACGGCUAACUACGUG